This is a long non-coding RNA of Apus apus (common swift), 800 nucleotides long. RefSeq lists it as uncharacterized. Lineage: Eukaryota; Metazoa; Chordata; Aves; Apodiformes; Apodidae. The record is from RefSeq and is a predicted model, not a curated record. The transcript has 2 exons.
GGCUGAGAAGAGAGAGACAGGUGAAGUCAUUACAUGAUGGGAACACCAGGAGAACAAUGCAUCAACAGAAGGCAUUUCAGAAACUGUGAGACAAGGCAGAGUGAGGUUUGGGGGAGAGAGGGCUCCUUCCUAAAAGUGACUUCCUGUUUUGCAUGUACAGAUCCAUGGCAUGCCAGGGAUCUCUCUGUGUCUCCACCCUCUCAAAAUGCAUAGAAGUUAUAGCAGAAACCGACAGGAAGGCAGAAAAAGGCUGGGAUUUGCUCACUGACACACAAUCUGUCAACAAAACACCUGAGGAUCUCUGUGCUCCAGUCCUUUUUGUAAACUUGAUGCUUCUCUUUCAGUUCAGAUUGGUUCAAAUAACUUUAAAUGAGCUAUGCACUUGAUUAAAUUCCUCUAGUCAAAUGGUUUGUAAUUGAGGAGGGAAGCGAUGGCAGUAUUGGCAGACUUCUGUGGACUAAGUACUUACUGAUUUUUUUUUUAAACUCUCUACUUCUGGAAUCCACACAUUGAAAUCUCAGCUAUGCUUCUUUAAAAAUGUCUGGCCUGCUGAGUUGCAGGGAAAAAGACAAAAAUGAUCUUCAAAAGGGAAACAUACAGCAUUCAUGACACACUAUUUUUACUUGUUUUUCCUGUGGACUUGGCUGAUGAUUUUUUGGCUCAGAAAUUCAUGUCCUUCACCACAUUUGUUCUGGACUCUGGCCUUUCAGCUGGCAGAGGCAUUUCUCCUGAUCCUCUCUACACUUCUUGGUUGUUUUUGCAGUCUGCGCUAUCAGUUGUAAUAAAUUGUGCUAAGCUAA